AUUGAACGCUGGCGGCAUGCCUUACACAUGCAAGUCGAACGGUAACAGGUCUUCGGAUGCUGACGAGUGGCGAACGGGUGAGUAAUACAUCGGAACGUGCCUAGUAGUGGGGGAUAACUACCCGCAAGAGUGGCUAAUACCGCAUGAGAUCUACGGAUGAAAGCAGGGGAUCGCAAGACCUUGUGCUACUAGAGCGGCCGAUGGCAGAUUAGGUAGUUGGUGGGAUAAAAGCUUACCAAGCCGACGAGCUGUAGCGGGUCUGAGAGGACGAUCAGCCACACGGGGACUGAGACACUGCGCAGACUCCUACGGGGGGCAGCAGUGGGGAAUUUUGGACAAUGGGCGCAAGCCUGAUCCAGCAAUGCCGCGUGCAGGAUGAAGGCGUUCGGGUUGUAAACUGCUUUUGUACGGAACGAAAAGCCCCGAGUUAAUACCCUGGGGUCAUGACGGUACCGUAAGAAUAAGCACCGGCUAACUACGUGCCAGCCGCCGCAGUAA
This 498-nucleotide ribosomal RNA is filed under the name uncultured bacterium. Its description in RNAcentral is "partial 16S ribosomal RNA". It matches the Rfam family "Bacterial small subunit ribosomal RNA", at positions 30 to 523 of the family's 1533-position model. The record is from RNAcentral.